RNAcentral lists this ribosomal RNA (477 nucleotides) under uncultured bacterium. RNAcentral describes it as "partial 16S ribosomal RNA". It matches the Rfam family "Bacterial small subunit ribosomal RNA", at positions 28 to 523 of the family's 1533-position model. The record is from RNAcentral.
GACGAACGCUGGCGGCGUGCUUAACACAUGCAAGUCGAACGGUAAGGCCCUUCGGGGUACACGAGUGGCGAACGGGUGAGUAACACGUGGGUGAUCUGCCCUGCACUUCGGGAUAACUGCGGGAAACUGUAGCUAAUACCGGAUACGACACCUUGGGGCAUCCCAGGGUGUGGAAAGAAUUUCGGUCAAGGAUGAGCUCGCGGCCUAUCAGCUAGUUGGUGAGGUAAUGGCUCACCAAGGCGACGACGGGUAGCCGGCCGGAGAGGGUGACCGGCCACACUGGAACUGAGACACGGUCCAGACUCCUACGGGAGGCAGCAGUGGGGAAUAUUGCACAAUGGGCGAAAGCCUGAUGCAGCAACGCCGCGUGAGGGAUGAAGGCCUUCGGGUUGUAAACCUCUUUUAGCAGGGAAGAAGCGAAAGUGACGGUACCUGCAGAAAAAGCACCGGCUAACUACGUGCCAGCAGCCGCGGUAA